RNAcentral lists this ribosomal RNA (426 nucleotides) under uncultured bacterium. RNAcentral's name for it is "partial 16S ribosomal RNA". It matches the Rfam family "Bacterial small subunit ribosomal RNA", at positions 354 to 796 of the family's 1533-position model. The record is from RNAcentral.
GUGAGGAAUUUUCCGCAAUGGGCGAAAGCCUGACGGAGCAAUGCCGCGUGAAGGAUGAAGGCCUAUGGGUUAUAAACUUCUUUUCUCAGAAAAGAAUUAUGACGGUAUCUGAGGAAUAAGCAUCGGCUAACUCUGUGCCAGCAGCCGCGGUAAGACAGAGGAUGCAAGCGUUAUCCGGAAUGAUUGGGCGUAAAGCGUCUGUAGGUUGUUUAAAAAGUAUUCUGUCAAAGAUUAGGGCUUAACCCUAGAUAGGCAGAAUAAACUUUUAAGCUAGAGUUUGGUAGAGGCAGAGGGAAUUCCCGGUGGAGCGGUGAAAUGCGUAGAUAUCGGGAGGAACACCAAAGGCGAAGGCACUCUGCUGGGCCAAUACUAACACUGAGAGACGAAAGCGAGGGGAGCAAAUGGGAUUAGAAACCCUGGUAGUCC